RNAcentral lists this ribosomal RNA (480 nucleotides) under uncultured bacterium. RNAcentral describes it as "partial 16S ribosomal RNA". It matches the Rfam family "Bacterial small subunit ribosomal RNA", at positions 28 to 523 of the family's 1533-position model. The record is from RNAcentral.
GACGAACGCUGGCGGCGUGCUUAACACAUGCAAGUCGAACGGAAAGGCCCUGCUUGCAGGGUACUCGAGUGGCGAACGGGUGAGUAACACGUGGGUGAUCUGCCCUGCACUUCGGGAUAAGCCUGGGAAACUGGGUCUAAUACCGGAUAGGAGCCAUUUUUAGUGUGAUGGUUGGAAAGUUUUUUCGGUGUAGGAUGAGCUCGCGGCCUAUCAGCUUGUUGGUGGGGUAAUGGCCUACCAAGGCGGCGACGGGUAGCCGGCCUGGGAGGGUGGACGGCCACAUUGGGACUGAGAUACGGCCCAGACUCCUACGGGAGGCAGCAGUGGGGAAUAUUGCACAAUGGGCGCAAGCCUGAUGCAGCGACGCCGCGUGGGGGAUGACGGCCUUCGGGUUGUAAACUCCUUUCGCUAGGGACGAAGCUUUUGUGACGGUACCUAGAUAAGAAGCACCGGCUAACUACGUGCCAGCCGCCGCAGUAA